AGCGAGUUUUAUGGAGGUGGGGAUAAAUGGGAGACCGGCGACGACGCACGGGUGUACAUCAAACUGCGUCGUAUGCUCUGGCUAAUUUUCGAGAUUCUGAUGUACUCGGGUUUCCUCUCGGUCGAGGAAUUCAGCGGAUUAUCGGGGGAUUAAAUAAAAAAAAAUUUUUAGGUGAAAAAUGGUGGACUGGAAUUUUUUGGGGGAUUUUUUUGGGGAGCCGCGGGUGGGGGGGGGGGGAGCGGGUCAAGUUGCGGUGGAGCAUCGCCGCGGAAUUAUUGAAUCAAGUGGCUGAUUUUCCGUGUAAUUCAAUCAGAAAUGGUCCGCCAUUUUGGGUCGACAGGGGCAACUGCGUAAUUCAGAGCUGCCCCUGGCACUUGGGGAUUCUUGGAGACGAUGUUCGAGGUGACAAAUUUCGCCUGGUCCUUGCGACCACCCUGAGGGAGGAUGGAUAUCCAGACGGUGGGGAUUGGACGGCAAUUGAGCAAGAGGGUGGCUCACGUGCUGACAGCUUUGAAUAUGUCAUGUCUGGAAAGGUGUAUCGCAUCGAGGGUGACGAGGCCAGCAACGAACCGAGCACAAGACUGGCGUCACCGCAAUGAUGAUGAGGCUGGAAUUGAGAGGCUGAUGAUGGAGUGAUGGAUAUCGGGGACCGCAGCAACGAGUGUUUGUGGUGGAGUCAUAAAAGGGGAGACCGGAGAUCCUUGAGAAGAGUUUAUGGAAUUAUUUCGUCGAUGGGGGAGAAAAAGGAUGAUAAGAGCUUUCAGGAUUUUUCUGGAGACUGGAAUAUGGAAUUAUUGCUCUGAAGAUGUCGAUUUUACGGCGACAAGUCAUCGAUUAUUUGAUGGAAAUGGAUUUUCGAUGGGUUACAGUCGAUUGUCGGUCAGACGUCGGUAAUGAGAGACGUCAGACUGUUGGGAAUUAUUGGACAUUCAAGAAACAGUGGAACAAAGUAGACAAUUUGUUUUUACGUCGGUGGAAGACAUGAAAAUACUCCGAAUAAUAUUCCACGUUCAGAAAACAAUAUUUGGGAGACAAAUUAAUUUUUUCCAAAUAACAGCUGAUUCAUUGAAUUAAUUUCUUUAUUCAUCAAACUUAAUUUUCAAACUCACUUCCUCCUAAAGACAUUAAAAUAGAUGAUUUCCAGAAUUUUCGUAAUUUUUGAAAUUAUAUCCAUAAUUAACCUGUUGUUAAAACGAUGAGAUGUAUGCGAAGGACAAUUUUUUUUAUAAAUUGUAAAUAUUUGAAUUUGUUAGUCAACAAUUUUACUUUAAUUUUUCAACAGUGCAGUGUCAUCGAGUGAAGUAACUGGAAUAGCCCAUUGAAUGAUAUUUUCAUAAUUUAUGCACAAUAUACUACUGUUUUCAUGAAUUAUUUCAUAUCAUGUUUCGUAUCAAUGACUGUAAUCAUUUUAUUAUUAAACGCUCUUCAACCGCUCAUCUAAUCACUCAUUUUUAUUCAUCUCCAUUCCAUUGGGGCUCGUUUCACGUCACUAUGCGAGGUAACUCCGAGGCUUUGGAAAUUACUGGGUUCAGUUGAUGGCUUCCAUGGAAAUGAAGCAGAUGAAUUUAUGGGAAAGCUCACGUCGCUGUGGAUUAUGCGAUAGAGGGGUGGGUGGGGUUUGGAGAAGUAGUAGUUGCCUGGUUUGGUCAGGCGUGACGGUGGAUUAUGGAGAAAUUCAACUGGUCAGGAAUUUACGCUUUAAAUGCGGAAUGAAAUUCUCCAUUAGUGUUCUAAUAACGUCUUUCGUUAUGUAAAAAUCCACCGCAAAAGACAAUAAUUCAGGGGAAUAAUAUUUUGGUUGAUUUCCGCUGGAAUUACUGUCUUUUUCUGGUUCUCCAUCAAUUUUCAUACGAUAAUUCAUACAAUAAUUCAUUUAAUAUUCAUUAAUUAUUGAAAUCCAUUGAAUUCUCAGUGUUAUCGACUUUCUUAGGUGGAAAAUUUAUAUCUGGAAUUCUCCAGAUGUUUUUAUUGAAUUUCCUAUGAAUUUUUGGAAAAUUCUAUUGAGAAAUUUCAUUGAAAUUCUAUUGAAAAAUAUAUUUCCUUACAGAUUAUUCUAUUUUCUUCAUUAACUUUCAUUUUUCCUACCAAAAAAUGGGCUCACGAUCCGGAAACCACUGAAACCAGAAAAGUCAAUAGAAUUUUCUCAAAAAAUCCAAUAGAAUUUUCAAUUCACUUCCUCCUUUUUUCUGCUGGACUUUCAGUCCCCAAAUUUUAAUCUCCCCCAGUGUUACAAUUAUUCCCAUCAACUACUCAGUCCAUUUUCCCUAAUAAUUUAAUUUACUACUUGAAAAAUUGAUCGUUAACCUGUCACCCUGAAUUUUAUUAUUCAAUUUUCAUCCCUCAUUUUCCACCGGAUUAAAAAUCUCCCCAGAAUACCAUAAAAAUCCUACAUUUCUCCUGCACCAACUGACGACGAAUUCGACCUUGCUCCCACCUUCUGAGCAUUCCUCUGGGCAUGACCCAGUUAUCUCACCGUAUCACAGCGCUCACCUGGAUGCACUCACUGGGAGCCCAGCGCCCUAUUCCCCCCCCGCUGAUGUUAAAACCCCCGAAGGGGAAAUCGAGGAUUCACAGCAACAUUGUACCCCCCCAUUGUCGACUCUGGGGAAAGGUCAGGCGUGCUGGAGGGGCUGAGGUAACUAGGAUAUCCGAAGACCUCUGGCUUCCUCAAAACUGGGUCAUCCUGUUGCCCGAAGUACACCCGAGUGUGUCCCGUCACCCUUUUCUCCUUUCGUCCUACCGUAACCCCCCACUACAUUUCCCAUCCUGUUGCCGUACUAUUCACUAGUGCCAUUAGUCCAACAUUCAGACGCGAUUGCAAUGACAAGCAUCAGGUGCAUCAGUGGAAGAAAAUUGGUUUUUAAUAUUUUUUUAAAAAUUCCUGGAGCCACUGAAAUGGUCGGGCGGCGGUGGGUGGUGGCUGGGGGGGUGGGAGGGGGGAUUGGGAAAUUUUAUCGAGAGCCGGAAUUUUUUCCGGAAAAUUUUGCUUGAAGGGUGAGUGUUGGAGCGCUUUCAUCUCUCAAGAAUCAUUGAAUGACAUUAUGGCUUUAAAAUUCUGAGUGCAUGGGACAGAGGGGUAAAUGAGUUUGCGCGAAAAGUGCCCCUGGGAGAGCGGUGGUAACCGAGUGCUUUUCAUUGACGUCACCGGGAAUAUCGUCAUGGCGGAGCUGUUGUUAUCCUUCAUUGAGAGAGGAAGGAAUAUGUCCUGGUUUUGAUAUCCUGGUGAUUACACUGACGCGCGGUAAUAAUUGAAUCUCACGUAUUUAAUAAUGUUUAUUGGGAUUAGAGAGAAUUUUGUUAUCGUGAGGAAAUUUACGAUAAAUCGCAGGUAAAAAUGUCCAUUGUCUUGAUAAUUCAAGGAACAAUUAUUGAGGAUUAUUUUUUCCUACAAAAUUUUGUUAUUAUUCUGAAUUUAUUUGUUUGGGGGAAAUGAUCGAUCGAGUGUUUAGUGAAUCGAUGCAUAAAUUAUUUUACUCGACCUGAAUUUAUUUUAGUUUAACGUCUAAAUGCGGAAAAUUUCGCCCUCGAACAGCCCUGACAUUGGCGGCUAUUCUGUUACGUGACGACGAGUCUGGGAGUUUCGGAAGUUUAAUUACCACUGUUGUUGAUGCUAUUUCGCUUCAAGUUCAUCGCAAAAAUAUUUAUUUUCGCUUCAGCUUCAUGUGGCGCUGCAUAUGUGUUAUUUUAUCGUAUUCAUUCAAUAAAAAUGGCACCUCCACACGAGCCGUGAAAUCGACCGCCCCUUUCAAUUUCCAAUAACUCAAAAACGGCUGAGUGAAAAUUUUCAAUUUUUUUUUCACUUUCAAGAUAUUUUUUCGCUCUUUGAAAUGACACCUGACCCGUCCCAAUCGCAUCGUUCGGUCAGGAGUUAUCGGCGGUUACACACGAACGAAUUUUCAUGAGCUGCAGAGGCUGGUCAAGGUCGCGGAAUAUUUUGCAUUUAUUUUGAAAAAUUGAGGGUCUUCCGGUUCCUCCGUAAGGUCCUCCCCUCUCGAAACCGACAUACGGCGGGAAAAAGUAUUUUUUUAAAUAUUUUCUACUUUCGUCUCAACUCCUCACGUUUUAAUUCAUUUUUUUACCGUUUUUUUUCAUUGAUUAUGGAGUUAUAAAUUGUUAAAACACGUCAUACAUUUACGUCACACAUUGUACAUGUACUCGAUGAUCGUGAAAACCACUCUGACACGUAUGCACAUGCAUAACUGUGAGAGCAGGCCACUAGGAAAUUGAUUACGCAAUUUGUCGAUAGUCGUACACUCAGGGCCGGCUGUGAUGGACAUUUUUUGACGAGCAACGGUUGCCCCCCUCGCCUCCCUCCCACCCCCCCCCUGCGACAAUUUGCAUUGAAAAAAUAAUUCUCGGUUUUGCCAAUGUUGGCAGCCCUGACGAUGAGGAAAUUUGUCUUGUCAGAGGUAUUCCUGAUCCAAAAGUUUAAAUUAAACUUCAACGAAAUUAAAUAACUCGGGAGAUCGCGAUUUGCUGAUCAUUUUUCAUCGUUUAAAAAUUGUUACUCCGUAAUUGGUGAUUCCACGAUUUGUUUGUGAACCUCCGGGGUAUCGAGGCUCAUUUUCGUUAUCGGGCGGUAAAAAUUACGAUCGUGACUGAUUUUUCUUGAUGAAUUGAUGUGGAGUAAUGGGAGUGGUAAAGUUUUUAUGUGAAAAUGUUUUGUGGGUUAAAUUUUGUUUAUUAAUUUCUCAUUUUAAUGAAGAUUUCCUGAUUGUUAAUUCAUCUUCCUAUUGAACCCGUCAAAAAUGUCGUGAUGUUCCCUACGAUCGCCCAAAAUCUUCAUUAAUUCCCCAUUUCCAAUAAUUAAUUCCCACGAAAAUUAUUCAAUAAAAUUAUCUUGAAUAAUUUACCGUGUUUUCAUUCCAUAUUAUCAUUAUAUUAUACAUAAUAUAAUGAUGUUAUUUGAAAAAAUCCUGGAAAAUCACUCCGAACACUCCGGGAGCCCCUCGAUCGUCGGAAAAAAAAUCUCCGAAAAAUUCAAGGCUCUUCAUUUCGAAGCCACAACCUAAAUUAAUUGACGUUCCCCGCGUGAAGUAGCUCAUGUGAGUCAUCCAACACGCGUGCAUGCUGGAUCAGCAAGUUUUCCGGGUCGUCCACGAAGUCGGCCGUUUGCAAGUGAAAAACAAGGACACAUUCUCGUACGCCUCUCGUCGGAACGUAAUCGUUAGUCGGGCCAAGCAUAGAUGGUUCUGUUACGCAAGCCCUCGUUAGGCCAUCCCCGAUGUAUUUUCGUCAUUGAAAAAACCCGGUGCAUCGUUCACCACAACAUCCACCAAUUACGGGACACCCGAACCCAAAAAAAAAAUCCCCUUUUCUUCAUAAUUUUCCUCUCACUUCCCGCCGCCCAUAUUUCCAUACCGAUCAGUCAAACGAUUGUGUCAUGUCCGACGAGGACACGUGCGGUAUGACAAGGACACGAGAAAAUCACCCGAUCAUCGUCGUGGCCCCUCGAGGAGGUCGUCACAUCCACCACGAAAAAUCCCAGAAAAUUUUCACGCCAGAAAAACACCGAAAGAAAUUUUGGAUUUAAAUUGGACCUCCAGAGGGCGCGAGCAUGAACGAAGUUUAUUAAACGCGAAAAUUAAUCUCUGGAGUCCAAAAUUUCUGCGAAAAAUUGGUUGAUUGUCAUUUCAUGCUGCGUUUCCCCCUCGUAAGUCCAAAUUUUUCCCCAAAAUUUCAUUCCAUCAAAAUCCCCAAAAGAUCCCAAGUCAGACGAAAAAUGAGUCCGAUUGCAUCUCCCUUGAUUUCCUUUUGGCACGCCAUCACAAUUUCGUCCUCGACACGUGGAUCCCACCUCCAAUUAUACACGAAUGCCAUUAUAUAUAGAAAAGUAAACCCCCCAGUACCUCAGUCGUUCUUAAUCCACUCGGCGACGAGUUCAUCCGACGUUAAAAUCGUCAAAAAUCUCCCCGCAAGGGAAAAAGAAUUAAAAUCAUCCGCCGGAUCACUCGAUUCCCCGCGAGAUCCCAAAAAACCAAAAAAAAAAAAUCCGCGAAAAGCGCUCCGUCAGUGCACCACGGCAGACCGUCGGUAUAUACUUGGCGUAGCUCUGGUCUCGUCGUAUAAACGUCGAUUGUGUAAUAAUCUCCUUGUUCUUCUUCUUCAACUCCGUCUCUCACACGAAUCGUCACAGUGUAACGAGCAUUGCGUCGCGUUCCUCUUCCCCACGAGUCCUCCAGUUUUUUUUUUCUUUUUUUCACUCCAACACAUAUAACGCGGGUUAGCACCCACCGACGGACUGGUGGGUACACUUCCCCGGGAGCGUAACAACUCUCGGUUUUAACUCAUUCCUAGCUAUUGCUAGACCAACUAGUACUCACCCAGCCGUCGUGUUGUUGGGACGUUCGCGGUCUCCUCAAAUUAAAACCGAACAUAAACUAGAAAAACAGAUGAUAAAGCGAACGUGCGAUUAAUUAACAAAAUGACUGAAUCGACGAUCAAUCGCCGGGGGAGCAAGUGAACGAGUGGUUAAACGAUGAUACGUUCCCGGGGCGCCGAGGAGGGGAGGGAAUUGAUUGAAAAAUAUUUGUUGAAUUGAAAAAAAAAAAGAAAAAAAAAUCGGUGAAUAUUUACUCGGUGGUAGAUAUUAAAUACGAGUUAAAAUCGGCCAUUUUACCAGCCACUGGCACGAGUUAAUCGAGGUUGUAGACUCAUUUGAGAGGGGAUAGUGCAUAUAAAUGACACGCGGGGUGAGGUGUUACCGACUGUUUAAGGAGGGGUAUUAGGAGGGAACACGAGAGAGACUGCAAUACGUUGUCUAUUAUUAGUGCAUCGAGGAUGUGUCUCGUUCUCUUUUUACCGAGCCCUGGGCGCAACUGAGUCGCGGUCAACGAUUAUUGGGUGGGAAUAGACGAGUAUUUAGUACAGGCCGAUAGUCCACGAGAUUUUAAUCCACCCGAGGGCUCAAUAAAAUACCCCAAAUCGUUAAAAUAAUUCGCGAUAUCGUCAGUCGUUAUUUAAAGGUUAAUAAUCGUUUCUCGAGGUGCGGUAAAAUUGUUCGCAAAUUAAUUCAACGAAAACAAAAUUAAAUAUCACCAGCAGUCAGCAACCGGCGAUCAGCUGACUACGCGUUUGUCGUCUCAAUGGAACAGCUGAUCGUGUUUCUUUGACAUUGAACAUAUCUGCGUACGUGUCCUUCGGUGGAUUGCUGAUGAGGCUGCAGGGAGAUGCCAACAAUCUUCAUGGCUUUGAAAUCGAUCAGCACAUGUACCUGUUAAUGAAGAAACUGGCCUUUUAGGGUCAUCUGGGCGGAGUUGGAUUUAUCAGUGAUUUUUGGGGGGAGGUGGGGUGAUUUGUGCUCGGGCUGGGGGAAUUGGAGAUGGGAGUUUAGAGGCUGGUGGGGUUUUCAGACAUUGCGAAUGCAUCGCUCAUAAUAAAAAAUGAGAAGGCGUUUUUCAAGGGCAAUUCGAUGUGCUGCGUUCAGAAAGAAUAAUGAAGAGGUGGUGAUCACAUCGAUUUGCCCUGGUUAUGAGUUUAUGGAUUAAAGUUUCAUGAAUCCUUGGAAUUCUGAUGGGAAUUGCCAGGGGGAUGGUACCUUGGUGACGUAUGUCACGGGGGGUUUGAGGUCUUCAAGUGAAUUCAUGUAUUUUUGAGGGAUUGUGGAAGUAAAUGAUGUUUUUAUAAAUAAAUUGUACAUUUGUUUAUUCCAUGAGUACCUUUGGAGAUGACUGGGAGAACUGAGAGAUGUGAAAAUCCAUUUUAUUUUUGUAAAUGGGUCUGAGGGAGAGGAAUAAUUUUUAUAAAUAUUUGUAAUCAAUUUAGCCCCUCGUCAUUGUGGUGGGGGUCAGUCGAUGGGAUUUGUCCAUCGAGAAUUGAUAAUGUACGAUAAAUAAUAAAGUUUCAAAUUUAUAUUUUGAUAAA
This is an RNA transcript of Diachasmimorpha longicaudata, 7863 nucleotides long. It is a transcript of the gene named DNA-directed RNA polymerases I, II, and III subunit RPABC3, with no coding region annotated. NCBI's taxonomy places the organism in Eukaryota, Metazoa, Arthropoda, Insecta, Hymenoptera, Braconidae. The record is from RefSeq and is a predicted model, not a curated record. The transcript has 4 exons.